Molecule: ribosomal RNA, 253 nt
Filed under: uncultured bacterium
Lineage: Bacteria
Description: partial 16S ribosomal RNA
Rfam family: Bacterial small subunit ribosomal RNA
Source: RNAcentral
UACGUAGGGACCAAGCGUUGUUCGGAUUUACUGGGCGUAAAGGGCGCGUAGGCGGCAAUUCAAGUCAGCUGUGAAAUCUCCGGGCUUAACUCGGAACGGUCAGCUGAUACUGCUUUGCUAGAGUGCAGAAGGGGCAAUCGGAAUUCUUGGUGUAGCGGUGAAAUGCGUAGAUAUCAGGAGGAACACCUGAGGUGAAGACGGGUUGCUGGGCUGACACUGACGCUGAGGCGCGAAAGCUAGGGUAGCAAACGGG